This 24-nucleotide non-coding RNA is filed under the name Arabidopsis thaliana (thale cress). The record is from RNAcentral. Lineage: Eukaryota; Viridiplantae; Streptophyta; Magnoliopsida; Brassicales; Brassicaceae.
AGGUAUUAUAUAAAGGAUGUGGCA